CGAAGGACCCGAGCGUUAUCCGGAUUUAUUGGGUUUAAAGGGUGCGUAGGCGGACUUUCAAGUCAGUGGUGAAAGCCCAUCGCUCAACGAUGGAAUUGCCAUUGAUACUGUUGGUCUUGAGUACGGUUGAAGUGGGCGGAAUGUGUCAUGUAGCGGUGAAAAUGCUUAGAUAUGACACAGAACACCUAUUGCGAAGGCAGCUCGCUAAGCCGUAACUGAUGCUGAGGCACGAAAGUGUGGUAGCAAACAGGAUU
This 254-nucleotide ribosomal RNA is filed under the name uncultured bacterium. RNAcentral's name for it is "partial 16S ribosomal RNA". It matches the Rfam family "Bacterial small subunit ribosomal RNA", at positions 526 to 779 of the family's 1533-position model. The record is from RNAcentral.